RNAcentral lists this ribosomal RNA (253 nucleotides) under uncultured bacterium. Its description in RNAcentral is "partial 16S ribosomal RNA". It matches the Rfam family "Bacterial small subunit ribosomal RNA", at positions 524 to 776 of the family's 1533-position model. The record is from RNAcentral.
UACAGAGGAGCCAAGCGUUGUCCGGAUUGACUGGGCGUAAAGCGAACGUAGGCGGUGUUCCAUGUCAGAGGUGAAAGCCUGGGGCUCAACUCCAGAAUUGCCUUUGAAACGGGAACGCUUGAGUCCGAGAGAGGAUGGCGGAAUUCCUAGUGUAGAGGUGAAAUUCGUAGAUAUUAGGAAGAACACCGGUGGCGAAGGCGGCCAUCUGGCUCGGUACUGACGCUCAGGUUCGAAAGCGUGGGGAGCAAACAGG